UAAGUAGGGCAGAUAAUCGCGGCUGCAAGUGUCGAAAGACCGCAGGUGAGGAAAGUCCGGGCUUCAUAGGGCAGGAUGCCGGUUAACGGCCGGUGGAGGUGACUCCAAGGACAGUGCAACAGAAAUAUACCGCUAGCAAUAGUAAGGGUGGAAGGGCAGUGUAAGAGACUACCGCCUGUCUGGUAACAGACGGGGCACAUGUAAACCCCAUCCGAAGCAAGACCGAAUAAAAGCGUUGACGUGGCCCGCUAGCUUUAGGUAGGUCGCUUGAGAUAACUGGUAACAGUUAUACUAGAUAGAUGAUUAUCCACGACAUAACCCGGCUUACAGCCUUGCUUAUUUA
RNAcentral lists this RNase P RNA (343 nucleotides) under Clostridiales bacterium. Its description in RNAcentral is "RNase P RNA component class A". It matches the Rfam family "Bacterial RNase P class A". From Rfam's summary of the family: Ribonuclease P (RNase P) is a ubiquitous endoribonuclease, found in archaea, bacteria and eukarya as well as chloroplasts and mitochondria. Its best characterised activity is the generation of mature 5'-ends of tRNAs by cleaving the 5'-leader elements of precursor-tRNAs. Lineage: Bacteria; Bacillati; Bacillota; Clostridia; Eubacteriales. The record is from RNAcentral. RNAcentral also lists the same sequence under 1 other name.